AUAAUAAUAUAAUUAUAUAAUCUUAAAUACUAAACAAAAUUAACAAUAUUAAAAAAAAACACUUAAAACUUUAAUUUUUUUAAAACACAUUUCGAUUCUUUUAUAAGAUUUUUCUCGCAGUACUACCACGGGUGAAAUCCUAGAAUUGACGGGUUUGAAUCGAUAUUAAUAUGGGAUGGUGUACUACGGAUGAUAUUUUAGAAUUGACUGGUUUAGGUUGAUAAUAAUUUGCGAUAGAAUUAGGAGUGAAAUCCUAGAAUGACAAUUAAAAUAUAAUUACACAAUUAAAUACUACCACAGGUGAAAUCUUAAAAUUGACGGGCUUGAUUCGAUAUUAAUAUGGGAUGGUGUACUACGAGUGAAAUUUUAGAAUUGACUGGUUUGGGUUGAUAAUAAUUUGCGGUAGAACUAGAAGUGAAAUCCUGGAAUGACAAUCAAGUUAUUAUUAUACAAUUAAAUACUAACACGGGUGAAAUCCUAGAAUUGACGGGUUUGAUUCGAUAUUAAUAUGGGAUGGUGUACUACGGGUGAAAUCCGAGAAACAACAAUCAAAAUACAAUUAUACAAUAUUAAACAUUUAACAAAAUAAACAAAUACAACUGAAAACUUUAAAAUUUGAGUUAUAAAAUUUCGUCUUGCGAUGAAUUAUACAUUUAAAUCAAACAAUAGCAUAAAUUUAUUAAAUCAUCCUAAAAAAGAUUCAAUUAUUUUUUAUUUAAUGAAAAUAUAGGCCCGCGGUAUACCGCAUGUUAAUAUCUAGUUAUACU
Molecule: small RNA, 767 nt
Filed under: Arabidopsis thaliana (thale cress)
Lineage: Eukaryota; Viridiplantae; Streptophyta; Magnoliopsida; Brassicales; Brassicaceae
Description: ATSL277480
Source: RNAcentral